CCGGCUACGGAUGGUCAUGCGUCGCAUUAGCUAGUUGGCGGGGUAACGGCCCACCAAGGCGACGAUGCGUAGGGGUUCUGAGAGGAAGGUCCCCCACACUGGUACUGAGACACGGACCAGACUCCUACGGGAGGCAGCAGUGAGGAAUAUUGGUCAAUGGCCGCAGGGCUGAACCAGCCAAGUCGCGUGAGGGAUGACGGUCCUAUGGAUUGUAAACCUCUUUUGUCAGGGAGCAAAGGACGCCACGUGUGGCGUUUUGCGAGUACCUGAAGAAAAAGCAUCGGCUAACUCCGUGCCAGCAGCCGCGGUAAUACGGAGGAUGCGAGCGUUAUCCGGAUUUAUUGGGUUUAAAGGGUGCGCAGGCGGAAUGUCAAGUCAGCGGUAAAAUUUCGGGGCUCAACCCCGUCGUGCCGUUGAAACUGGCGUUCUUGAGUGAGCGAGAAGUAUGCGGAAUGCGUGGUGUAGCGGUGAAAUGCAUAGAUAUCACGCAGAACUCCGAUUGCGAAGGCAGCAUACCGGCGCUCAACUGACGCUCAUGCACGAAAGCGUGGGUAUCGAACAGGAUUAGAUACCCUGGUAGUCCACGCAGU
Molecule: ribosomal RNA, 590 nt
Filed under: uncultured bacterium
Lineage: Bacteria
Description: bacterial SSU rRNA
Rfam family: Bacterial small subunit ribosomal RNA
Source: RNAcentral